CUGCAGCCAAUUAAGCUGACCGGCCCCCUCUCUCCUUGGGGGCCCGGCGUGCAGUGGCUGCAGACAGCAGCCUCCUUGGUGGUGUACGUGCCCUGUUUCCUAUAGGGUUGCCCUAAAGGACCUUGGAGACAGCG
This 134-nucleotide small nucleolar RNA is filed under the name Dasypus novemcinctus (nine-banded armadillo). RNAcentral's name for it is "Small nucleolar RNA SNORA70 (ENSDNOG00000046798.1)". It matches the Rfam family "Small nucleolar RNA SNORA70". From Rfam's summary of the family: snoRNA U70 seems to be exclusive to mammals and is a member of the H/ACA class of snoRNA which contain H (ANANNA) and ACA box motifs. The record is from RNAcentral. Lineage: Eukaryota; Metazoa; Chordata; Mammalia; Cingulata; Dasypodidae.